UUAUGAUCAUGCAGAAGAAUAGGUGUGUUUGCCAUGGGGGAGAAACCGAUUGAUGGUAGCCCUUUUAAGCGGAAGUAACGAGAAUCUGUGGCAGCAGGAAAGAUCUCUGGUUUACCAAGUUUUCCAUUUGCUUUUUUGACAGCUUCUUCAAGCAAGGCCCACCAUGGGUUAGAAUUGUCAGUCUUUGUAAGGAGUGGCCUCCCAAAGCUGUCAUAAACGGUAGCUUUCUGCUUAAACUGGUACGUCAUGUUGCGUGAAACAGGUGCCCAUUCUUCAGCAAUUCGCCUUUCCAAUGAUUCAGGAUCAGCAGUUGGUGGAACCCGAAUAUCAAAACCUGCUUCUGCUUCAGAUGGCUGCAAAUUCAUGACAAAUCCAGUUGGAGAUGGAGUGCCAGCCUUAAGAAAGACCAUGUUAACAGAAAUAACCUCACCCUCCUCCUUCAAACCAGACUUCACCAAAUCAAACUGAGAAGCCCGAAAUCUCCUCACACUCUCAAUGCUUUUCAAAAGAUUUUCCAUUGCACUAUUGUCAUAAAGCUUCGCUCCAUGGCCUGGAGCCCCAAAGGCCUUGAUCACCAGCCACCAUGGGCUCCUCUCUGCAAAGAACGGCCUGUACUUCUCAGACGGCGAUGCUAAUCCUUCAUCGAGCACUAUUCCCACAUUCAUGGUCCUGAAGAUAUCAGAAUCAGCAAACUUCUCAGCACCAUCAUGGCCGCCUAUUUCUUCAUCGGGGGCAAAAGCUAGGUAAAUGGAUCGAAUCGGCUGGAACCCAGAAGACUUCAAGCGGCGAACAGCUUCCAAAUACUGCAUACCAACGCACUUCAUGUCCUGGGAACCUCUAGCAUAGAUGUUACCAUGGGAAUCCAGGUGGGCACCAAAGGCAGGGUAUGCCCACUUGUGCUGCUCGACCGGGACGACAUCGGUAUGAGAAUAAAGGAGGAUAGAGGGGAGGGUAGGUUGAGAGCCAGCCCACUUGAGGAGAACAAGUGGCUUGCCAUCGACGAACUCAAUGGAUUGGAAUUCGAGGCCGAUGGAUUUAGCCUGAGAAAUAAGGAAAUCGGCUGCUUCGUGGUAUCCGGGGUUGGGUUGGGCAGUGUCGAUUUGGAGGUAUUGUUGGAAUCUUGAUAUGAUUGCUGAUGAUGAAUCUUCUGCUACUGCUACUAAUGGAUUCGGAAGGAGUAAGCAGCUAUGGAGGAGGAGGAGGACGACGACGACGACG
RNAcentral lists this unclassified non-coding RNA (1218 nucleotides) under Hevea brasiliensis (rubber tree). The record is from RNAcentral. Lineage: Eukaryota; Viridiplantae; Streptophyta; Magnoliopsida; Malpighiales; Euphorbiaceae.